RNAcentral lists this transfer RNA (73 nucleotides) under Sphaerodactylus townsendi. RNAcentral's name for it is "tRNA-Ala". It matches the Rfam family "tRNA". Rfam says of the family: Transfer RNA (tRNA) molecules are approximately 80 nucleotides in length. Their secondary structure includes four short double-helical elements and three loops (D, anti-codon, and T loops). Lineage: Eukaryota; Metazoa; Chordata; Lepidosauria; Squamata; Sphaerodactylidae. The record is from RNAcentral.
GGAAGUUGUGGCUCAGUGGUAGAGCAUCUGCUUGGCAUGCAGAAAGUCCCAGGUUCAAUCCCCAGUGUCUCCA